GACGAACGCUGGCGGCGUGCUUAACACAUGCAAGUCGAACGGAAAGGCCCCUUUUGGGGUACUCGAGUGGCGAACGGGUGAGUAACACGUGAGUAACCUGCCCUUGACUUCGGGAUAACUUCAUGAAACUGGGGCUAAUACCGGCUAGGAAUCCUUUCUGCAUGGUGGGGGUUGGAAAGCUUCGGCGGGUUUGGGUGGACUCGCGGCUUAUCAGCUUGUUGGUGGGGUAGUGGGUUACCAAGGCUUUGACGGGUAGCCGGCCCGGGAGGGGGACCGGCCACAUUGGGGCUGGGAUACGGGCCAGAAUCCUACGGGGGGCAACAGUGGGGGAUAUUGCACAAUGGGCGGGAGCCUGAUGCAGCAACGCCGCGGGCGGGAUGACGGCCUUCGGGUUGUAAACCGGUUUCAGCAGGGGCGAAGCUUGUGGUGACGGUACCUGCAGAAGAAGCACCGGCUAACUACGUG
This 465-nucleotide ribosomal RNA is filed under the name uncultured bacterium. RNAcentral's name for it is "partial 16S ribosomal RNA". It matches the Rfam family "Bacterial small subunit ribosomal RNA", at positions 28 to 507 of the family's 1533-position model. The record is from RNAcentral.